UACGUAGGGGGCUAGCGUUGUCCGGAAUUAUUGGGCGUAAAGAGCUCGUAGGCGGUUUGUUGCGUCGGCUGUGAAAUCCCGAGGCUCAACCUCGGGUCUGCAGUCGAUACGAGCAAACUAGAGUGUUGCAGGGGAGACUGGAAUUCCUGGUGUAGCGGUGAAAUGCGCAGGAUAUCAGGAGGAACACCGGUGGCGAAGGCGGGUCUCUGGGCAACAACUGACGCUGGAGGAG
RNAcentral lists this ribosomal RNA (232 nucleotides) under uncultured bacterium. Its description in RNAcentral is "partial 16S ribosomal RNA". It matches the Rfam family "Bacterial small subunit ribosomal RNA", at positions 524 to 753 of the family's 1533-position model. The record is from RNAcentral.